GACUCGAUAGCUCAGCUGGUAGAGCAAUACACUUUUAAUGUAUGGGUCCUGGGUUCGAGCCCCAGUCGGGUCA
This 73-nucleotide transfer RNA is filed under the name Cryomorphaceae bacterium. RNAcentral describes it as "tRNA-Lys". It matches the Rfam family "tRNA". Rfam says of the family: Transfer RNA (tRNA) molecules are approximately 80 nucleotides in length. Their secondary structure includes four short double-helical elements and three loops (D, anti-codon, and T loops). Further hydrogen bonds mediate the characteristic L-shaped molecular structure. tRNAs have two regions of fundamental functional importance: the anti-codon, which is responsible for specific mRNA codon recognition, and the 3' end, to which the tRNAs corresponding amino acid is attached (by aminoacyl-tRNA synthetases). tRNAs cope with the degeneracy of the genetic code in two manners: having more than one tRNA (with a specific anti-codon) for a particular amino acid; and 'wobble' base-pairing, i.e. permitting non-standard base-pairing at the 3rd anti-codon position. RNAcentral also lists the same sequence under 2 other names. Lineage: Bacteria; Pseudomonadati; Bacteroidota; Flavobacteriia; Flavobacteriales; Cryomorphaceae. The record is from RNAcentral.